UCUUCAUCAAUUUGUCUUUUGUGUUCAAGUAUAGUAUUUGUUUUGGAAAAUGGUUUUUGCUCAAUGAGCGGCUAGCAUGUGUAAAGCGUAAACAUAGACCAACAACCAAACUGACCUGAUAAGCGGCGGUGGCAGAACCAAAGACAAAGCCAGGUGGAAAGUCAUAUCUGCUAUACUUAUCAGCGCAGAGCACUGCUAUUCGCAUAUGCAGCAGAAUUCUAAUUAGCAAGAAAAUCAGACUCCUCAUUUCUGUUUACCUGAGAGUUCACUGCGACGUCCCAGCUCUUCUUCCUUUCGAGUGAAUCGAUGUGUUGUCACAACCAGAAGAAAUGAGGAUAAUAAAUGAUAUGAAGACAAAAUGCAAUGGUCUGCCGAUCUGCAUGGGUGGCCAUGAGUAUUCCAUUGAGUCUUGACGGUGACAGAACGCAAAUUGACAAGAAUUAACGGAACUUAGUGGAAGACAAGGACAUGUUCGUGUUAUAGGUAGUUUAGAAGCUUAAUGAAGAGCCCUUUUUCUUAGAUAAUCGGAGUCAAAGAUGCUUAUCAACCGGUUUAAUUUCCAUGAUUGUCUGCAUUUAUCACUAAUAUGAAAGCAAGAUGUGACGAUCAAUUAACUUUAUCCAUUUAAAUUAAAUGUGAUAUAUUUCUUAUUUACUUUGUUUGACAUUUUCAAGAGACUAAAGGAGGGUUAUGUUGGACAGGAUUCCAGAACAGAAGACAAAGGCUGGCGCAAAUAUAAGACUUAAGCGAGUCUCUCGUCUGCAAACAAAUUUGCUAGAUUACAACAAUUAUACAGAGAUGAGCCUACUGGGAGAAAUGGCCCUGCGAAAGAGCAAAGAAGUUUUGCUUGAGCUUGAUUAGUACAUCUGAACUGAUGCUUCCUCCCUUGAGAAAAUGGGAAUACCAAUGCGCAGAAAGCUUAGGGUAUCUUUUCAAAUCGGGGUCGUCCAAAUCUACGUAGUAGAAGCCGUAGCCUGAUUCAUAGCCAUCCAGCAACUCAAAUACAUCCAGGAAGGACCAUGCAAAGUACCCUCUUGUAUUUGAUCCAUUCCUUUGAAAAUUUAAGAGCGAGAAGAAGGAAAGGAAAGCGUUAGACGGUAUACAUGAUAUGGAUAAGCUGAAAGAAAUCUAUGCAAAAGGAUCAAUUGCAAUCUACAAACACUCAAAAGGUCGAUGGCUCUUAGGCCAUUCCUUAAAGUUCGAAUUGGCAUACCUCACAGCAUCAAGUACACUUCCAAUGUAGGCAUGCAAAUAGUUUACCCUCGAGGUGUCUUCCAUUGUUGAAUUGCGCCUGUUUCUCUGACCUGCCAAAGACACCAGACCAACUUCACCAAUGAGAUGAAAAGCAAGACCACAAGCAUAAACAAAUAUGAGAUAUUGCCAACCAAAAUCUUUUUUAAAUUUCCAAAUUACAUUCUUUGAGGCCUAACGGUGUUGGUAUUGGAGUUAAGAAGCAUAUAUUUUCAUACAGUUUGCUAUCAAAUAUGGUGGAAUGAAAGAGGGAUAUAAUCUGCAUGACUAAAUUGUAUCAGCAAUUGUCUGUUUUUCUUAUAGGUGUUUAGCCGUUAUGUUUUUUCAGCUUAUUCCUUUUCGCCAGCAGACUUGGCAAUUGUUCUACAUAAUAUGUUUUAUAAUAGUCUAUUGAAUUGAGAGCCAUGAUAUUUUAUUCAAAAAAAGUAUUCACAGCUCAGAUAUCACUGAUGUAAAUUUCUGGGAAUGACUCUGUUUUAAUUGCUGCACAUCAUUCUUCUCAUGUCCUCAUUUUACUUUUCCCACAUGAAGCAGCUAAAUUAUUUCAUUUCAUAAUUUCUUGGAUUCUUGACUUGGAAAAAGGCAUGAAUCCAUGUAGGUUGCCCUCUGUUCUAUAAUUAUUUAAUCUACUUGCUGUUGGAGAGAGGUAAAGAGAGAUACCAUUUUCAAGAAUGUAAAUAGGGGGAUUUUCAUAAACUUGCUUGAAAUACUCCAGCACUGCUUGCAAGCCCCAAGGCAGUAUGGGCAACUGAGUGGCAAAGCUGGUCAGUGAACCAUUGAGCAAGCAUGAAAUAAACAAAGACUGGGGGGGGGGGGGGGGGGGGGGGGAUAAAACAGUANACAAGGAUUCAAGGACUUGGAGGUGGGGGAAACGAGAUUGAGCCUGUUCGGUUUCUUUCUCCAUUUCAUUUUGCGUACAGCACAAGGCCCAGUUUGUUAUAUAUCUCUUUCACGAUUUAGGCCCAAUUGUGUAGCCAUUAAUCUAUUUUAAGUUUAUAAAGAAUCAACAAAAAUUUCUAGUAAGACCCAAAGAAGAAUGGAAACAACGAACAGGUUGAAGCUCAAAUCAAUGAGAAAACAAAUUAUACGAGGACAAGAGUUAAAGCAGAAUCAAAGUUUUGUGAUCGAUUACAGAUAAUUUGUUUCGUCGACAAGGAUUCAAGGGCUUGGAGGUGGGGGAAACGAGAUUGAGCUUGUUCGGUUUCUUUCUCCAUUUCAUUUUGCGUACAGCACAAGGCCCAGUUUGUUAUAUAUCUCUUUCACGAUUUAGGCCCAAUUGUGUAGCCAUUAAUCUAUUUUAAGUUUAUAAAGAAUCAACAAAAAUUUCUAGUAAGACCCAAAGAAGAAUGGAAACAACGAACAGGUUGAAGCUCAAAUCAAUGAGAAAACAAAUUAUACGAGGACAAGAGUUAAAGCAGAAUCAAAGUUUUGUGAUCGAUUACAGAUAAUUUGUUUCGUCGACAAGGAUUCAAGGACUUGGAAGUGGGGGAAACGAGAUUGAGCCUGUUCGAUUUCUUUCUCCAUUUCAUUUUGCGUACAGCACAAUGCCCAAUUUGUUAUAUAUCUCUUUCACGAUUUAGACCCAAUUGUGUAGCCAUUAGUCUAUUUUAAGUCUAUAAAAAAUCAACAAAAAUUUCCAGUAAGACCCAAAGAAGAAUGGAAACAACGAACAGGUUGAAGCUCAAAUCAAUGAGAAAACAAAUGAUACGAGGACAAGAGUUAAAGCAGAAUCAAAGUUUUGUGAUCGAUUACAGAUAAUUUGUUUCGUCGACAAGGAUUCAAGGGCUUGGAGGUGGGGGAAACGAGAUUGAGCUUGUUCGGUUUCUUUCUCCAUUUCAUUUUGCGUACAGCACAAUGCCCAAUUUGUUAUAUAUCUCUUUCACGAUUUAGACCCAAUUGUGUAGCCAUUAGUCUAUUUUAAGUCUAUAAAGAAUCAACAAAAAUUUUCAGUAAGACCCAAAGAAGAAUGGAAACAACGAACAGGUUGAAGCUCAAAUCAAUGAGAAAACAAAUUAUACGAGGACAAGAGUUAAAGCAGAAUCAAAGUUUUGUGAUCGAUUACAGAUAAUUUGUUUCGUCGACAAGGAUUCAAGGACUUGGAAGUGGGGGAAACGAGAUUGAGCCUGUUCGAUUUCUUUCUCCAUUUCAUUUUGCGUACAGCACAAUGCCCAAUUUGUUAUAUAUCUCUUUCACGAUUUAGACCCAAUUGUGUAGCCAUUAGAAUCUAUUUUAAGUCUAUAAAGAAUCAACAAAAAUUUCCAGUAAGACCCAAAGAAGAAUGGAAACAACGAACAGGUUGAAGCUCAAAUCAAUGAGAAAACAAAAGAGGUCCGAAUUUUCCAAAACCCAACACCAUUGACAGAAGUCAGGGUGCUCAAUUAAUCAACACAAGUACUGCUACUGACUAAGAGAAGCAGCUAACCAGCGUGGGCAAAAGUAUCCCAAAUGCUAGGAGUCCUCCCAUCUUCGCUUGCUGCUCCCUCCACCUUCCAUGUGUUACUAGAAGCUCGUCAGUCUUCAUCAAUUUGUCUUUUGUGUUCAAGUAUAGUAUUUGUUUUGGAAAAUGGUUUUUGCUCAAUGAGCGGCUAGCAUGUGUAAAGCGUAAACAUAGACCAACAACCAAACUGACCUGAUAAGCGGCGGUGGCAGAACCAAAGACAAAGCCAGGUGGAAAGUCAUAUCUGCUAUACUUAUCAGCGCAGAGCACUGCUAUUCGCAUAUGCAGCAGAAUUCUAAUUAGCAAGAAAAUCAGACUCCUCAUUUCUGUUUACCUGAGAGUUCACUGCGACGUCCCAGCUCUUCUUCCUUUCGAGUGA
Molecule: long non-coding RNA, 4067 nt
Filed under: Theobroma cacao (cacao)
Lineage: Eukaryota; Viridiplantae; Streptophyta; Magnoliopsida; Malvales; Malvaceae
Description: long non-coding RNA (TCAC_LNC000577)
Source: RNAcentral